This 502-nucleotide ribosomal RNA is filed under the name Escherichia coli. RNAcentral's name for it is "partial 23S ribosomal RNA". It matches the Rfam family "Bacterial large subunit ribosomal RNA", at positions 731 to 1230 of the family's 2925-position model. The record is from RNAcentral. Lineage: Bacteria; Pseudomonadati; Pseudomonadota; Gammaproteobacteria; Enterobacterales; Enterobacteriaceae.
UAGCCAUGGGCAGGUUGAAGGUUGGGUAACACUAACUGGAGGACCGAACCGACUAAUGUUGAAAAAUUAGCGGAUGACUUGUGGCUGGGGGUGAAAGGCCAAUCAAACCGGGAGAUAGCUGGUUCUCCCCGAAAGCUAUUUAGGUAGCGCCUCGUGAAUUCAUCUCCGGGGGUAGAGCACUGUUUCGGCAAGGGGGUCAUCCCGACUUACCAACCCGAUGCAAACUGCGAAUACCGGAGAAUGUUAUCACGGGAGACACACGGCGGGUGCUAACGUCCGUCGUGAAGAGGGAAACAACCCAGACCGCCAGCUAAGGUCCCAAAGUCAUGGUUAAGUGGGAAACGAUGUGGGAAGGCCCAGACAGCCAGGAUGUUGGCUUAGAAGCAGCCAUCAUUUAAAGAAAGCGUAAUAGCUCACUGGUCGAGUCGGCCUGCGCGGAAGAUGUAACGGGGCUAAACCAUGCACCGAAGCUGCGGCAGCGACGCUGAUGCGUUGUUGGGUA